AUUGAACGCUGGCGGCAGGCCUAACACAUGCAAGUCGAGCGGAUGAAGGGAGCUUGCUCCUGGAUUCAGCGGCGGACGGGUGAGUAAUGCCUAGGAAUCUGCCUGGUAGUGGGGGAUAACGUCCGGAAACGGGCGCUAAUACCGCAUACGUCCUGAGGGAGAAAGUGGGGGAUCUUCGGACCUCACGCUAUCAGAUGAGCCUAGGUCGGAUUAGCUAGUUGGUGGGGUAAAGGCCUACCAAGGCGAUUAUCCGUAACUGGUCUGAGAGGAUGAUCAGUCACACUGGAACUGAGACACGGUCCAGACUCCUACGGGAGGCAGCAGUGGGGAAUAUUGGACAAUGGGCGAAAGCCUGAUCCAGCCAUGCCGCGUGUGUGAAGAAGGUCUUCGGAUUGUAAAGCACUUUAAGUUGGGAGGAAGGGCAGUAAGUUAAUACCUUGCUGUUUUGACGUUACCAACAGAAUAAGCACCGGCUAACUUCGUG
Molecule: ribosomal RNA, 484 nt
Filed under: uncultured bacterium
Lineage: Bacteria
Description: partial 16S ribosomal RNA
Rfam family: Bacterial small subunit ribosomal RNA
Source: RNAcentral